GAUGAAGAACGUAGUGAAAUGCGAUAAGUAAUGUGAAUUGCAGAAUUCAGUGAAUCAUCGAAUCUUUGAACGCACCUUGCGCCCCUUGGCUAUUCCGAGGGGCAUGCCUGUUUGAGUAUCAUGAACGCCUCAACUCCCUCACGGUUUUCCGUGACGAAGCUUGGACUUUGGAGGUUUUUGCUGGCCUGCGGGUUGGCUCCUCUCAAACAAAUCAGCUUGCCAGUGUUUGGUGGCGUCACGGGUGUGAUAACUAAUCUACGCUUGUGGUCGUCUGCUGAGUGCAGCCUUCGACGAUGGAGGUUUUCUGGAGCUUAUAAACGUCUCUCCUCAGCGAAGACAGCUUUUUGAAUGUUCGAUCUCAAAUCAGGUAGGACUACCCGCUGAACUUAAGCAUAUCAAUAAGCGGAGGA
This 410-nucleotide unclassified non-coding RNA is filed under the name soil metagenome. RNAcentral's name for it is "partial contains 5.8S ribosomal RNA, internal transcribed spacer 2, and large subunit ribosomal RNA". The stretch from base 1 to 121 matches the Rfam family "5.8S ribosomal RNA", at positions 35 to 154 of the family's 154-position model. The record is from RNAcentral.